Gossypium raimondii (Peruvian cotton) is the source of this 4399-nucleotide RNA transcript. RefSeq lists it as uncharacterized. NCBI's taxonomy places the organism in Eukaryota, Viridiplantae, Streptophyta, Magnoliopsida, Malvales, Malvaceae. The record is from RefSeq and is a predicted model, not a curated record. The transcript has 9 exons.
UACCUAAUAUCCAAAAACCCAUCGAACUCCUACCCUCCUCUAACAGUUUAACGCUCUGACUCCUUGUAGCGAGACGCAAAAACACCGCUUCGCUCGGCGUCGCCUCCCUCAUCUUUCUCUCCGCACCCAUGGCGAUGUCAUCUUCCGAACAACCGCUGAAGAAGCGAAGGCUGUUCGAUCCGCCACCGGAUACCGUGUCUCAGCCGGAGACCUCCGUGGCUCCACCGACCACUCCCCCUCCGUUGUCUCAAGAGGAAAUUCUCUUGAGGAGGAGAAACAGGGACGAGAUUCGAAGUGUUUACGAGAAUUACAAAAGGAUUAAGUCUUGCAUUUCCCUGAAAGGCAAAGAUGCUCGGUGCAUGCCUGAGCUUGAGCAAGCUUACCAUGCUCUAAUAACUGCUUCUAGAGGUUGUUUAAGUGUACAGCGUCUUGUGGCCGAUUUUGUUCCUCGAUAUGCCUCACACUGUCCAACUGCUCUUGAAUCUGCUACGAAAGCCAUCAUCGAUGUGCAUAACUCUAGCUUGGCAGUGAUAAGUAGGGGAGAAGAUGCUGAUAAUGUCGCAUUCCAAACUGCUAAAGCUUGCAUUUUUGGUCUGGCUGAUAUUUGUUCGACAGCUUCUAUAGAGGCACCAAGUUCAUUGGUUGCAAGAGGCAUCUGCUCAACUGUUUUCCAGAACGUUCUCUCGUUUCUCAUAGCAUCCUUCCAGGGGAAGGAUUUGUUUCAAAUUGUUGAUAGAGAUAUUUGUAAAAUUCUGGAUUCUGAUGAAAUGUUUUCCAAGCUAAAGCAAAAAUUUUCUGAUGAAGAUGAAUCUUCAUUGAUUAAGUUAUUCAAAUUACAAAUUUUGAGUCUACUCCGGAUUCUAUUCUGUUGUCCAAAAAAAUUGCUUUCUGCCUGCUUUGAGCUCUUCAGGUCAUCUGAAACUGAUGAAGCCGAUAAAGGGCUAUAUUUUCUGAGACAGGCAACAGGCAGGCUUGAUGAUCUUGAUCCCACUUUUGGUUUAGAUAAAAUAAAAGUAGAGCCUAAAAGCUGUAUGGAUUCCCUUGGAACUAGCACCAAAACCAGUGUGCUUACUGGUGAGACACCUGGAUCAGAUAGUUGCACUGCCAUAGAAGAUUCAUCUUCUGUUCUGAAGAGCUCUUUGUUGGGUCUGGUUUUUGGUAAAAAUCCGUCCUUGAGAAAUUGGAUGCUCUUAAAGUACAAGAAAUUAUGCAAGUCAUCUCCAUCUAAAUCUGUGCCAGAGAUUGUAUCUAGCUUGGAAGGAAUCUUUGAAUUGUUUGGGAAAGGUAUUAAUAUGGAAGCCAGUCUAGUAGACAGUGAUGAGGAUGAUUCUGAUUCCUCUAAAUUUUCUAGUCAGCCGAACUUGAUUUCUAGAAGUUCUAAUCAACAUGAAACCUUGAGUGACCAAUCUGGAAGAGGUAAGUCAAGCAAUGAGACUUGUAUUGAAAAUUUGUCAGGUCAAUAUCUGAAUCCCCACAUUGUUCCUCCAGAAACCAAUCUCCACUUAAAUGCUGGUUCUAGUCAUGAUAGUGGAGGUUCAAGGUCCGUGGACUUCGAAAGGCAUGACCAUGGGGAUUUGACCAGUAGUAGGUCUUCUGUUCCAAGGGACCAAUCAAGCCAUCAGUUGCUUUCACCUGCUACUAGAACCCCACGGGACUUAAGGGGUAAUUCGUUUGAGGGUAGAAAUCACUUUAAGAAUGUUGACAUGAGUCAAGGUUCAAAUUCAAGCGGCACUUCUGCCUUAAGAUCUGCUAGUGGAGGUGUAAGCAAUGCUUUGGCGUCACCCAGUAAUCGUUAUGGAGCAUCUUCUCUAAGUGUAUGGUAUUUUGAUAGUGAUCCUGCUAGCUUGGGUGUUUUCUCAGCUUCUCGGCAGCUAUGGUUGGGAUCUUUAGGGCCUGAUGCAUCUGAGGGUUACAUAAGGUUUGAGCUAGAGCGGUUUGGUCCCGUUGAGCAAUUUUUCUUCUUUCAAGUUAAAGGAUUUGCUUUGGUUGAGUAUAGAAACAUCAUUGAUUCGAUAAGAGCUAGGGAAUAUAUCCGUGGCUGUUUUCCUUGGCAAGUAAUGUUCAUGGAUAUAGGGUUGGGAACCAGGGGUUCUGUGAAUGGUGUUGCUGUUGGUUCUAGUUCUCAUGUUUAUGUCGGAAACAUUUCGAGUCAAUGGGCAAAGGACGAAACUUUGCAUGAAUCAAGGAAAGUGAUCUACAAGGGUCCUUACAUGGUUAUUGAUCUUACUUGUGAAUGUGCAUUGCUGCUGGAAUAUGAAACUCCUGAAGAAGCUGCUGCUGUUAUGGCACAUCUUAGACAACAUCGAAAAGAAAGAAACGGCCAUAUGCCUCCAUUUAAUGCAGCUCCACCUUCUGUCUCUAUGCCCCAUGUUGACAGUGGAAGGUCUGGUGCUGCUCCACCUAUCCAUGCUGACAUAAUAAACAAUACGUCUGGAAACAUGUCUAGCAGCUCAAUGGAACUUGUAUCUCCAAAGUUAAGGAUGGAGAAUCAUGGAACUCCAGCACCUGGUGCACAUCCAUUUCAGUCAAACUGGCCUCCUGAAGGUGCGGUGAGAAAAGGUGAUGGCUAUGACAACAACCUUAUUGCAGAUCCUGCACAAGGAGGUGGUGGUGCUGUCUCUGGUGCCUCUGCACAAGUAUGGAGUUAUCAGAAACCUGAAAGUGAGAUGCAUUCUGCACCUGGGAGCAUGCCAUGCAUGCCUAUAGCAACACAAAACCUUACUGCUCCACCACCACCCCCACAACUCCAAGCACCUCCAUUUAUGCGACCUGUUUACCAUCCUCCAAACAGUUCCUGGGAUCCCAGAGGUUUGAAUCACCAGUUUCCUCAGAAUCCAAUUUCACCUGGUGUAGUGCCUAAUACAUUUCAUGGCAAUGCUGUUCCACCUCCACCUCCACCUCCCUUUGUAUCUGCUUCUGUGACUCCACUUGCUCAGAUGCAAGGACCUCCAGUGCAGCAUUUUGAGCAGAGGUUCCCUCAUCCUGUUGUUCCGCCACCUCUAUCAUCGAUGCCGCCUCCGCCGCCACCGCCUCUAUCUCCACCACCAUUGCCUCAGUCGUUGCCACCUCUGGUUCCCCCUCCACCUAAUUCACCUCCUCCCCCUCCUCCACCUAUAGCAGAAUCAACUGACAUGGGUAGUUCUGAACGGUGUGUAAAGUAUCAGUGGCAGGGCUCAUUAUGUAAGAGUGGAGCUCAUUAUUGCACAAUUUAUGCUCAGAGACUAGAUUCAGAUCUUUGCAAAUAUUCAAAUGCCAGUCCUGAGCCCACAGAAUGGCCUGCUAAACUAGACAUGACCAAGCGCACAGAUUUUCGGCAUGUGAAGUCAACAUUCACCAAUACCCCACCACAUAAAAGAGAAGUUUGUUGUUUGAUCCCUUCUUCCACAAGUGACCAUAAAGGCUUUCAGGAUUUUAUUUCAUACUUGAAGCAGAGGGAUUGUGCAGGAGUUAUUAAGAUUCCAGUAGUGAAAUCCAUGUGGUCCAGGCUUCUUUUUAUUCUUCCAUACUCGCAAGAUGCAUGUUCCAUGCUUUCUGUUGUACCACCUAAUGCAUCUGACUGCCUCAUUGCCCUGGUUUUGCCCAAAGAAACAAACUUUGAGUGGGUUUGAGCUUCAUGGCUUACUUCCAGUGAAACCCUUGUUCCAGUCUAUGAAUCUUUGGGAAUGGAUAAAUGGUACUCGUGCAUCACCAGCAGAGGGUACCCAUAGUUAAUCGCCCUUCACUGUCAUCAACAGUUGGGAGGUUCCAAAGCGGCCUAAGAUGACUUGCCUGAUCAUUAUGCUAUUGGGACUUAUGGAUUCAUCUCAAAAACUUGCCCAGAUUCCCCAGUACCAGAAUGUCCAGAGGGAGGGGGGAAAACAUAAUUACAGCUCGUAUCACAAAGAAAGUCUUGGAAAUGGAGGAAUGCAAAAACAUGAUGAAUCAUGACAGGAAUAUGCCUUUAAAUAAAUCACAUAAAGAGUACAACAAGAAUGAAGUUUAUUUGAUAUGAAGCCACGCCAAUACAACCAAAAUGGUUCGUCGCUUAUCAGAUUUAGAUUACAAUAUGUUGGCGUAUCAGGUGAACUAAUGGUGUUCCUGCUCUGGCUUGGCAGCAGCUUAUGAAUCUUCAUCGCCUACAUUAACAGCAUAGUGCCCAAAGUUCCUACCCUGAGUACAAAGAGAUACAUCACCAGCCAAUUCACUAAUAAUCAGUUUGUAGACACAAAUCAGAGACACGUACCGCAGAUAGCAUCCGCUGCUUAUUCAAUAGCUGGGUUCUUGCUUUGUUGAGGGCUGAAUUCGGUGACUUGUACAUUCUCUGUAUCACAGAAUCAGAAGAAAUCAGUAUUACUUUCAUACCAUUUGAUAAUUCAAUACAUGUAUAUAUAAAAGAAUGGAAAACAUAAUUGAUAAUUAA